UACAGAGGGUGCAAGCGUUAAUCGGAAUUACUGGGCGUAAAGCGUGCGUAGGUGGUUUGUUAAGUCUGUUGUGAAAGCCCCGGGCUCAACCUGGGAAUGGCAAUGGAUACUGGCAGGCUAGAGUGCGGUAGAGGGUAGUGGAAUUCCCGGUGUAGCGGUGAAAUGCGUAGAGAUCGGGAGGAACACCAGUGGCGAAGGCGGCUACCUGGACCAGCACUGACACUGAGGCACGAAAGCGUGGGGAGCAAACAGG
This 253-nucleotide ribosomal RNA is filed under the name uncultured bacterium. RNAcentral describes it as "partial 16S ribosomal RNA". It matches the Rfam family "Bacterial small subunit ribosomal RNA", at positions 524 to 776 of the family's 1533-position model. The record is from RNAcentral.